UGUAAGAUAAGCUAAGACUAAAGCUGUUGGGCUCAUAACCCAAAAAUGAACUACAGGUUCUCUUACAA
This 68-nucleotide transfer RNA is filed under the name Cerithidea tonkiniana. Its description in RNAcentral is "tRNA-Met". Lineage: Eukaryota; Metazoa; Mollusca; Gastropoda; Potamididae. The record is from RNAcentral.